Molecule: long non-coding RNA, 1804 nt
Organism: Sorghum bicolor (sorghum)
Lineage: Eukaryota; Viridiplantae; Streptophyta; Magnoliopsida; Poales; Poaceae
Exons: 6
Source: RefSeq, a predicted model, not a curated record
CUCUAAAUUUAGUGGCUCUCCAUCCCACCUCUCUCGCUCUCUACUUUUGGAUAGCGUACCUCACUAGCUAUUCAAUACAGAGUCUGUUGGAGCACUUUAGUAUUUUCUUGUCAAAUCUAUUUUAGAGAGUAGCUAAAUUAGUAAAUUUAGCUAGUACUUUUAGAUAAUCUCUUGGAGGCAAAGGAAUGGAAAUAGGACCCCCUCAACUUCUAAGCGGUCUCAUGCUAAAAAAGAACAGAAAUACUAUAUGACACAUGUGUGUUUUGUGGUUUGUUGACACAUGAAUUUUGUGGCCACUCGAUGAAGAAUGAAACGUCGGAUUUGGUCUGAUCUGUGAUGGUUGCUUUGUGAGACUGCCGUGAAGAGCCCAUUGGGACACUUUUUGUAUUUCUCGAUCCGCGCGCUCAGACAGGAAAGGAAGCGGUUCUGGAGGUCGUCACUCUGUCUAUUCUCCCCUUUCCCUUGUGUGCUCUUCCCCGUCGAGCCUCGUCGGCAUCGCGGCGAUUCAAUAGGCGACGGCGCCUCUCCGUGCUCCUCCCCGUCGAGCCCGUCGGUGUCGCGGCGAUUCAAGAGUUGUGGAGGCAAGCUGAGGGAUGCAGCACUAAUGCCACUCAGUGUAUUGCUGCGCCCACUGCCCAGUGACAGGAACCUGCAGUAGAGGUGCUCUUGUUCUUUGUGCCCCCUGACUUCAAGGGUCUAUUACAGCCAACCUUCUAUAGCCCCUUGAAGACUACUUACUAGUUCUACUAGGACUAGAAUAAGCUACCCAAAAGACUGUUGAUGUGCCCUCAGUUAAGGACUGGAGGGGUUGAAGGGCUGCUAGUUUCAACAUCAUUCCCAGGAGCACUGGAGCUGCUAAGCUCAUUAUUGGGCAAGCUAGGGAUCAAUGCUACCAUUUGAUGUUUUCUUUCUCUUAUUUCUUUUUGGCUUCACUGGGAUUCUAUAAAACAUUAUUAGUUCAAGAAUUAUGCAUUUGGAUUCAAAUUCUAUUUGUAGCUACACAGUUUAUAAUGAAGCAUUGAAAAUUACUCUCCUAUUGUGCUGAAUUUACAUCGCAUAUAUGGGUGUAAUUUGCACAUGUGCACAUUGUAAUUUCGGUAUACUUGCAGUAUAAUUUUUACCCAUCUAUUCCUGUCAGUCUAAUCAUCUUUCUGUGAGUUCCUGAUUUAUUCCUGAUUUUGCACUAUGCUCUCUCUGCUUCUAGCCUUUUAGACCACAUCACAACCUCCCAAGUGCUGGAUCUGCUUCUUGUGCACAGUGAGCAACCAGAGCCAUGCCCUGCUAUUGGAGCAAGCACAAGCAGCAGUCCAUUUUUGCCAUCCUGACUGUGUUUAUAGUUCCCAUGAUUACAGAUUCCAUGUAUCUAGGUUAUCCUAAUCUUUCAUCUCAGUUGUUAUUUUGUUCGUUGUUGCUUCUUCAGAGAAAUUGAUUUACUAGAGAAAUUGAUUUAAAAGAUUGGUCUACUAACCUUACCUGAUGAGGUAUGAAUCAGACUUGUAGUGCUUGUUCUUCAAAUUUUCUUUGCAAUCUGAUUUCUGCCCGUGUCCCCUGCUGAGCAGAGCAGAGCUUUUCCCAAUGUAGAGCAGAUCUAUUUUGUUUGCUUUACUUUUUUUCCCAAGUCUUAUCUGUUGUUUUAUUCCUAUGGAUUCUUUGUUGUUGGACUGUUUUUCUGGGCUGCUGCAUGUUUCAUAGGCCAAUUUCUCUUUUUAGUUAUUGGGAUUUACUAUUUUACUCUUCGGUUGCACAAAAAUUACAACAGAUCGGCUCUGCGUGGGCCUUGUUUUAAAAUCAAGUGUUUUAUAGA